Xenopus laevis (African clawed frog) is the source of this 248-nucleotide long non-coding RNA. RefSeq lists it as uncharacterized. The transcript is spliced from 3 exons. The record is from RefSeq and is a predicted model, not a curated record. Lineage: Eukaryota; Metazoa; Chordata; Amphibia; Anura; Pipidae.
GGGACAGAACACGCAGCCUGACUGGAACCUAUGACUACAUGGCUCCCGAAGUCCUCUCCAGGCUGCCGUAUUCAAGAUCUGCAGAUUGGUGGUCUCUGGGCAUCGUGAUCUUCGAGAUGCUAGUCGGGGACCUACCAUGGAUGAGACCAUCUAUUGGCGUCGUCUGCCCAAAGUUCCUGGCUGAGGAUGCAGCUAUUUUAAUAUCAGGGCUUUUACAGUUGGACCCAUGGAUGCGGCUGGGCUCCAGC